AUUGAACGCUGGCGGCAGGCCUAACACAUGCAAGUCGAGCGGAUGAAGGGAGCUUGCUCCUGGAUUCAGCGGCGGACGGGUGAGUAAUGCCUAGGAAUCUGCCUGGUAGUGGGGGAUAACGUCCGGGAACGGGCGCUAAUACCGCAUACGUCCUGAGGGAGAAAGUGGGGGAUCUUCGGACCUCACGCUAUCAGAUGAGCCUAGGUCGGAUUAGCUAGUUGGUGGGGUAAAGGCCUACCAAGGCGACGAUCCGUAACUGGUCUGAGAGGAUGAUCAGUCACACUGGAACUGAGACACGGUCCAGACUCCUACGGGAGGCAGCAGUGGGGAAUAUUGGACAAUGGGCGAAAGCCUGAUCCAGCCAUGCCGCGUGUGUGAAGAAGGUCUUCGGAUUGUAAAGCACUUUAAGUUGGGAGGAAGGGCAGUAAGUUAAUACCUUGCUGUUUUGACGCUACCAACAGAAUAAGCACCGGCUAACUUCGUG
Molecule: ribosomal RNA, 484 nt
Filed under: uncultured bacterium
Lineage: Bacteria
Description: partial 16S ribosomal RNA
Rfam family: Bacterial small subunit ribosomal RNA
Source: RNAcentral